GAUGAACGCUGGCGGCGUGCCUAAUACAUGCAAGUCGAGCGAACGGACGAGAAGCUUGCUUCUCUGAUGUUAGCGGCGGACGGGUGAGUAACACGUGGAUAACCUACCUAUAAGACUGGGAUAACUUCGGGAAACCGUAGCUAAUACCGGAUAAUAUUUUGAACCGCAUGGUUCAAAAGUGAAAGACGGUCUUGCUGUCACUUAUAGAUGGAUCCGCGCUGCAUUAGCUAGUUGGUAAGGUAACGGCUUACCAAGGCAACGAUGCAUAGCCGACCUGAGAGGGUGAUCGGCCAAACUGGAACUGAGACACGGUCCAGACUCCUACGGGAGGCAGCAGUAGGGAAUCUUCCGCAAUGGGCGAAAGCCGACGGGGCAACGCCGCGUGAGUGAUGAAGGUCUUCGGAUCGUAAAACUCUGUUAUUAGGGAAGAACAUAUGUGUAAGUAACUGUGCACAUCUUGACGGUACCUAAUCAGAAAGCCACGGCUAACUACGUG
This 496-nucleotide ribosomal RNA is filed under the name uncultured bacterium. RNAcentral describes it as "partial 16S ribosomal RNA". It matches the Rfam family "Bacterial small subunit ribosomal RNA", at positions 28 to 507 of the family's 1533-position model. The record is from RNAcentral.